UACAGAGGGGGCAAGCGUUGUUCGGAAUUACUGGGCGUAAAGGGCGCGUAGGCGGCCUUCUAAGUCGAACGUGAAAUCCCCGGGCUCAACCCGGGAACUGCGUCCGAUACUGGAAGGCUUGAAUCCGGGAGAGGGAUGUGGAAUUCCAGGUGUAGCGGUGAAAUGCGUAGAUAUCUGGGGGAACACCGGUGGCGAAGGCGGCAUCCUGGACCGGUAUUGACGCUGAGGCGCGAAAGCCAGGAGAGCAAACGGG
This 253-nucleotide ribosomal RNA is filed under the name uncultured bacterium. RNAcentral describes it as "partial 16S ribosomal RNA". It matches the Rfam family "Bacterial small subunit ribosomal RNA", at positions 524 to 776 of the family's 1533-position model. The record is from RNAcentral.